AAUCACAAUGUUAACGUGUAAUACUCAAAACUGCAAGAGCGAAUCGAUUUGCUGACGAAAAGCCUGACGCAAAGACGUGU
RNAcentral lists this small RNA (80 nucleotides) under Sinorhizobium meliloti 2011. RNAcentral's name for it is "putative ncRNA". Lineage: Bacteria; Pseudomonadati; Pseudomonadota; Alphaproteobacteria; Hyphomicrobiales; Rhizobiaceae. The record is from RNAcentral.